GAUGAACGCUGGCGGCGUGCCUAAUACAUGCAAGUCGAGCGAACAGACGAGGAGCUUGCUCCUCCGACGUUAGCGGUGGACGGGUGAGUAACACGUGGAUAACCUACCUAUAAGACUGGGAUAACUUCGGGAAACCGGAGCUAAUACCGGAUAAUAUAUUGAACCGCAUGGUUCAAUAGUGAAAGACGGUUUUGCUGUCACUUAUAGAUGGAUCCGCGCCGCAUUAGCUAGUUGGUAAGGUAACGGCUUACCAAGGCGACGAUGCGUAGCCGACCUGAGAGGGUGAUCGGCCACACUGGAACUGAGACACGGUCCAGACUCCUACGGGAGGCAGCAGUAGGGAAUCUUCCGCAAUGGGCGAAAGCCUGACGGAGCAACGCCGCGUGAGUGAUGAAGGUCUUCGGAUCGUAAAACUCUGUUAUUAGGGAAGAACAAAUGUGUAAGUAACUAUGCACGUCUUGACGGUACCUAAUCAGAAAGCCACGGCUAACUACGUG
Molecule: ribosomal RNA, 497 nt
Filed under: uncultured bacterium
Lineage: Bacteria
Description: partial 16S ribosomal RNA
Rfam family: Bacterial small subunit ribosomal RNA
Source: RNAcentral